RNA transcript from Acipenser ruthenus (sterlet), 2709 nucleotides. It is a transcript of the gene named upstream stimulatory factor 1-like, with no coding region annotated. The transcript is spliced from 5 exons. NCBI's taxonomy places the organism in Eukaryota, Metazoa, Chordata, Actinopteri, Acipenseriformes, Acipenseridae. The record is from RefSeq and is a predicted model, not a curated record.
ACAUUUUCAGACCAGAGCUGAAAUCUUAUCCAAUGAGAAGAUACAUGGGCAGAAUUACCACAAGCCGCUUGCAGCUGACUCUCGGAAUCUAUCACAAACACAACCUGGGCCUGACACCUCCAAAGCGCAUAUUUCAUGCAUAGCUGGACAAAUAACACAUGAAAGUGAGUUUGGGGCCAGAUGACAGACCUAUGUCAUGCACGAUUCGUUUCCAGCGUCUUUACAGCAAGCACACGCAUUGUAUAACGUGAAAUCCGCUUCUCGCUCCGGAAGCGGUACAGCUGAAGGUUUGAAGAUGGAAUCGGCCCACUCUGAAGAUACUGGGCAAAAGAACUGCCGGGGGGAAGAUCAUCUCAAUGGACUUCAAUCUAUUCACAUUAAAGAGGAGGAGCCUGAGCUGGAGUCUGACGUUGCAGACAGCGUGACAGGACUGGGGUCUGUCUGCAUUAAAGAGGAGGAGCCUGAGCUGGAGUCUGACGUUGCAGACAGCGUGACAGGACUGGGGUCUGUCUGCAUUAAAGAGGAGGAGCCUGAGCUGGAGUCUGACGUUGCAGACAGCGUGACAGGACUGGGGUCUGUCUGCAUUAAAGAGGAGGAGCCUGAGCUGGAGUCUGACGUUGCAGACAGCGUGACAGGACUGGGGUCUGUCUGCAUUAAAGAGGAGGAGCCUGAGCUGGAGUCUGACGUUGCAGACAGCGUGACAGGACUGGGGUCUGUCUGCAUUAAAGAGGAGGAGCCUGAGCUGGAGUCUGACGUUGCAGACAGCGUGACAGGACUGGGGUCUGUCUGCGUUAAAGAGGAGGAGCCGGAGCUGGAGUCUGACGUUGCAGACAGCGUGACAGGACUGGGGUCUGUCUGCAUUAAAGAGGAGGAGCCUAAGCUGGAGUCUGACGUUGCAGGGAACGUCUCUGAUCUGGGACUGGUCUGCAUUAUAGAAGAGUAUCCCGAAUGGGAGGCAGUCCACAUCACAGGACAAACUUACUCCACUGCCAGCAUGUUAUCCAAACUUCAUUCAGAAGAAGAAACAGAGUCCUACCCUUGCCCUCACUGUGAAAUCUCCUUUACUGGAAAGAAGUACCUGGAUAAGCAUGUCAAAAACACACACCGCGAAGCAUACCUGCAUAUGCUGAGGACUCGUUCCACCAAAAACAGUGAAAACCAAGCAUUAAACCAGCUGAGUACCAAAACUGCAGACUCUGUGUGUGUCACUGAUUCAGAAAGCAUGGGCAAGCCUCUGGCCUCACACCUCUGCACCGAAUGUGGAAAGAACUUCAGCCGUCUGAGCAGCCUUAAAACACACCAGCGAACUCACACAGGGGAGACCCCGUUCCACUGUAUUGAAUGCAGCAAGAGCUUCAGCCGCUUAGGAAUCCUUACGAAGCACCAGCGAAUUCACACGGGCGAGAAACCGUAUCGCUGCGCUGACUGCAGAAAGAGUUUCAGGACCUUGGAAAACCUGAAGCAGCACCAGCGAAUUCACACGGGCGAAAGCCCGUAUCGCUGUACUGAGUGUGAGAAGAGCUUCACGCAGUCACAACACCUUAAAAGACACCAGCUCAUUCACAAGGGGGAGUACCCGUAUUUCUGCACUGACUGUGGGAAGAGGUUUAGCCAGCUGGAGCACCUGAAAACACACCAGCGGGUUCACACUGGCGAGGCUCCCUAUCUCUGCAGGCAGUGUGAGAAGUGCUUCAAGUUCUCCGGGGACCUGAAAAGACACCAACGAAGCCACACUGGAGAGAAGUUCCACUGUGCUGACUGCGGGAAGAGUUUCACUCGGUUGGCAAACCUCAAAACACACCAGCAGCUUCAUGCUGGGAGAACUGGUGCCACCGAACAGAUCCAAUAAAGAAAUGCGUUGGCUCCCAAACCAAAUAAAAAUGAUCUCUUCAAACUCUAGCUUUCAAGACCUCAAAUAUAUCUUCAGGUGUAAAUUACAAAAGCAGGUGCCUUCAACAAUAACGCCUAUUUCAUUAGAUUUCCACUUACGCCUGAAGGCUUUUGAGGUCUUGAAAGCUAACAUUGACUCUAAUAAACAGUAUAAACUCUUCAAAUCUGUUGUCGUCAUUACCUUGUUUAACACGGCAAUGCACUCUUGAAUAGCAUCACAGGGCGUUUCACAGUUCAAAUCUAAAAGAUCACUAAUGAGCUUGUGGGUGUAUCCAUUCAAGCUGUGAAAACAGACAUGUCUUCAGUCUUUAUAGUAUAAAACAGCUGACUCAGAACUGAUUUUCUCUAUUAAAUAGUUAGUGGCCAGGACACCUUGAAUAUGUGUAACAAAUAUUCUCAAUAAAUAACUUUUUGGUACCGGUUCAUAGUUGCAAUGUUGUCACUUAUAUAGGAUUAUUUUUUUUUUUAAUAAUAAUACAAAAAAAUGCUUCACAAAGCUGACCUUUCUGACAAAACUUCCCAAAAUAAAAACAUCCGGUUGGUUUUACCCGAACUAACCCUACCCACAACGAAGAUGGCGUACUCCUAUCUGGAGUCACUUUUAUGUGCCCUCAAGAAAGAUGGCGGACUCUGAAUCCGGGUUCUCACUGCCUUCACUGGAGAUUGUGGGUAGGUUAGUGCUCAUGCGCAGAAAGGCCAUUUUCAAAACAAACAAAAGGAAGGUUUUUAGGGUCCUGGUCGCUGUCUUCAGAGCUUGGCUGAGAUCUCACCAGAGAGGCAGCACCACACCAUUUAACACUGUCUGUUGAAAUGAAGGGG